UGGUAAAUAAAUUCGGGCCAAAAAAAAAAACGCCUUACGCUAUCUUCCUCAACGCUUGUGUUCACUGAUUUGAUAGUUUGCUCAGAUUGAGAUGCUUUUUGCAAAGAGUGGCGAACGGGUGAGUAACACUUGGGAAACCUACCUCUUAGCAGGGGAUAACUUUUGGAACCUGAUGCUAAUCCCGUAUAACAAUACCACCCGCUGGGUUGCUCCUUAAAAGAUGGUUCUGUUAUCACUAGAGGAUGGCCCCGCGGUGCAUUAGUUGGUUGGGGAGGUAUGUCUUCACCAAGACAAUGAUGCUUACCCAAGUUGAGAGACUGAUCGGCCACAGUGGGAAUGAGACCCGGCCCAUUCUUCUAGGGGGGGGAGCUGUGGGGAAUCUUUCCAAAUGGGAAAAAGCCUGGAGGGACCACCCCCCCCGUGUUGUGAAGAAGGGUUUUCGGCUCCUAAAACCCUUGUUUGUAAGAAAAAAAAUGCCUUUGAAAUUACUUGUUCCAUUUUUUGACGGGUUUUUUCCCAAAAGGGAAGGGUUUAAAUUCUUCCCCGCCCCCCCCGGGAAAUUCCUUUUUUUUCCCGGCUUUUUCCCGGGAUUUUUGGGGGCGAAAAGGGGGGCCCCAGGGUUUUUUUUAUUUUUGGGGGAAACCCCCCCCCCUCAACUUGGGAAAUUUUUUUUUGAAAACCGGGAUACCUUUUGGGUCCCAGAGAAAAAAAGGGGGACACCCCCUGUGUUCGCGGUGAAAAAAGCUCUAAAAUUAUUUUAGAAAAAACCCCUCUGUGGGGGAGGGGGGCUUUUUUUUCGGGCGUAUAUAUCUAACAUAUUUAGGACGCCCGAGAAGAGUGUGCGGGUGACAACACCACAGAUAAUAUACACUCCCCGUGUGGUCUCACCCCCCUCAGAAGAGAGAGAUAUGCGUUCGUCGUUGUAUUAUGAGAGGUGUUUGUCCUCGCCCCACUAUAGACAGCACGACGAUCUUCUACGAUAGUAGUAAUGUAUCUCA
This 998-nucleotide ribosomal RNA is filed under the name Weissella cibaria. Its description in RNAcentral is "partial 16S ribosomal RNA". The stretch from base 1 to 585 matches the Rfam family "Bacterial small subunit ribosomal RNA", at positions 70 to 546 of the family's 1533-position model. The record is from RNAcentral. Lineage: Bacteria; Bacillati; Bacillota; Bacilli; Lactobacillales; Lactobacillaceae.